Molecule: ribosomal RNA, 1372 nt
Filed under: uncultured bacterium
Lineage: Bacteria
Description: bacterial SSU rRNA
Rfam family: Bacterial small subunit ribosomal RNA
Source: RNAcentral
GAUGAACGCUGGCGGCGUGCCUAAUACAUGCAAGUCGAGCGAACGGACGAGAAGCUUGCUUCUCUGAUGUUAGCGGCGGACGGGUGAGUAACACGUGGAUAACCUACCUAUAAGACUGGGAUAACUUCGGGAAACCGGAGCUAAUACCGGAUAAUAUUUUGAACCGCAUGGUUCAAAAGUGAAAGACGGUCUUGCUGUCACUUAUAGAUGGAUCCGCGCUGCAUUAGCUAGUUGGUAAGGUAACGGCUUACCAAGGCAACGAUGCAUAGCCGACCUGAGAGGGUGAUCGGCCACACUGGAACUGAGACACGGUCCAGACUCCUACGGGAGGCAGCAGUAGGGAAUCUUCCGCAAUGGGCGAAAGCCUGACGGAGCAACGCCGCGUGAGUGAUGAAGGUCUUCGGAUCGUAAAACUCUGUUAUUAGGGAAGAACAUAUGUGUAAGUAACUGUGCACAUCUUGACGGUACCUAAUCAGAAAGCCACGGCUAACUACGUGCCAGCAGCCGCGGUAAUACGUAGGUGGCAAGCGUUAUCCGGAAUUAUUGGGCGUAAAGCGCGCGUAGGCGGUUUUUUAAGUCUGAUGUGAAAGCCCACGGCUCAACCGUGGAGGGUCAUUGGAAACUGGAAAACUUGAGUGCAGAAGAGGAAAGUGGAAUUCCAUGUGUAGCGGUGAAAUGCGCAGAGAUAUGGAGGAACACCAGUGGCGAAGGCGACUUUCUGGUCUGUAACUGACGCUGAUGUGCGAAAGCGUGGGGAUCAAACAGGAUUAGAUACCCUGGUAGUCCACGCCGUAAACGAUGAGUGCUAAGUGUUAGGGGGUUUCCGCCCCUUAGUGCUGCAGCUAACGCAUUAAGCACUCCGCCUGGGGAGUACGACCGCAAGGUUGAAACUCAAAGGAAUUGACGGGGACCCGCACAAGCGGUGGAGCAUGUGGUUUAAUUCGAAGCAACGCGAAGAACCUUACCAAAUCUUGACAUCCUUUGACAACUCUAGAGAUAGAGCCUUCCCCUUCGGGGGACAAAGUGACAGGUGGUGCAUGGUUGUCGUCAGCUCGUGUCGUGAGAUGUUGGGUUAAGUCCCGCAACGAGCGCAACCCUUAAGCUUAGUUGCCAUCAUUAAGUUGGGCACUCUAAGUUGACUGCCGGUGACAAACCGGAGGAAGGUGGGGAUGACGUCAAAUCAUCAUGCCCCUUAUGAUUUGGGCUACACACGUGCUACAAUGGACAAUACAAAGGGCAGCGAAACCGCGAGGUCAAGCAAAUCCCAUAAGGUUGUUCUCAGUUCGGAUUGUAGUCUGCAACUCGACUACAUGAAGCUGGAAUCGCUAGUAAUCGUAGAUCAGCAUGCUACGGUGAGUACGUUCCCGGGUCU